Arachis stenosperma is the source of this 77-nucleotide small nucleolar RNA. RefSeq annotates it as small nucleolar RNA U31b. The transcript has a single exon. NCBI's taxonomy places the organism in Eukaryota, Viridiplantae, Streptophyta, Magnoliopsida, Fabales, Fabaceae. The record is from RefSeq and is a predicted model, not a curated record.
GGAUGUGACGAUAAACUUGUUGACACCCAGUCUUAUCAUCUAUUUUGAUGCAUGGUGACCCUCUGACUAUCUGAUCC